Molecule: ribosomal RNA, 200 nt
Filed under: uncultured bacterium
Lineage: Bacteria
Description: partial 16S ribosomal RNA
Rfam family: Bacterial small subunit ribosomal RNA
Source: RNAcentral
CGGAUUGGAGUCUGCAACUCGACUCCAUGAAGCUGGAUUCGCUAGUAAUCGCGCAUCAGCCAUGGCGCGGUGAAUACGUUCCCGGGCCUUGUGCACACCGCCCGUCAAGCCAUGGAAGCCGGGGGGUGCCUGAAGUGCGUGACCGCAAGGAGCGCCCUAAGGUAAAACCGGUGACUGGGGCUAAGUCGUAACAAGGUAAC